Molecule: ribosomal RNA, 306 nt
Filed under: uncultured Alphaproteobacteria bacterium
Lineage: Bacteria; Pseudomonadati; Pseudomonadota; Alphaproteobacteria
Description: bacterial SSU rRNA
Rfam family: Bacterial small subunit ribosomal RNA
Source: RNAcentral
UGGCUCAGAACGAACGCUGGCGGCAGGCCUCAAACAUGCAAGUCUAGGGGGUGUAGCAAUACAUCACCGGCGGACGGGUGCGUAACACGUGGGAAUAUACCUUUCGGUACGGAACAACUGAGGGAAACUUCAGCUAAUACCGUAUACGUCCUAACGGAGAAAGAUUUAUCGCCGAAGGAUUAGCCCGCGCUCGAUUAGCUAGUUGGUGAGGUAAUGGCUCACCAAGGCGGCGAUAGAUAGCUGUUCUGAGAGGAAGAUCAGCCACACUGGGAUUGUAUCUCACGGCCCAGGAUCCUACGGGAGGCA